Topomyia yanbarensis is the source of this 266-nucleotide long non-coding RNA. RefSeq lists it as uncharacterized. NCBI's taxonomy places the organism in Eukaryota, Metazoa, Arthropoda, Insecta, Diptera, Culicidae. The transcript has 3 exons. The record is from RefSeq and is a predicted model, not a curated record.
AUUUAAAGAUAUUUCGAUAUUGAAUUGAGGUAUUAAAUAGCGGACUGUAUUAUUUCUAAUCGCCCUUAAUAUACUUGGUCUAGCCUAGAACACGACCAGAUUAGAGUGGCUAAUACGUGGAGUAAACUACCAAGGAGGAAACAAUUAGAAGCCUAAGAGGGCACUAAACGUAAGAAUUUACCUAUUCAACUAAAUACUAACUAAUGUAAAUCUAAAAUUUUAGGGAUUUUAUAAUCCUCGUAGAAUAAAGAUUAUAAAAUCGGAAA